UUAUUUAUAAAUUAACAAGACUCUCACCAGUUGACCUUGACUUGGGAAGAUGGCAUAUAGACGACUUGCAUUGCAGAUCUGGAGAGAGCUGGAAGAAGAGCCAUGGCCAUUCAGAAAACUGAAGAGCAGCAUUCAGCAUUUUUCCAUUUGCAGGGGAUAUGAUGUUUGGCUAUACAUGCACUUGCGCAUAAUGCACAUGUCGCCAGACAGGCCCUAACUCAAAAGCAGGUACGAGACUGUCUUCCCUACAUGUAAGUCGUAUACGUAUCGGACCAAGAUGAUUGUUUGUCAUCUCUGUCUUGUGACUCUCUACUGAAACUGAAAGUAGCUAGGAUUUGUCGUCCAUGGAUUAUGGUUUCGAUCGUAAGUUGAGUGUUGAUGGAUGCUGCAUGCUCCUAGUUCAGCUGUUUAAGUUUUAGGUGAGAUUUCCAUGUUCCAAGUUGGCCGACCACUAGUGAAUUAGUGAUGCAAUGAUCGAUGUACUGCACUAAUCACUAGGUAUGUCUAACUUGACAAUUAGUUGAGAAUACCAGGUAGACAAUAUUGGGCCGCAA
Non-coding RNA from Oryza sativa Japonica Group (Japanese rice), 554 nucleotides. The record is from RefSeq and is a predicted model, not a curated record. NCBI's taxonomy places the organism in Eukaryota, Viridiplantae, Streptophyta, Magnoliopsida, Poales, Poaceae.